This 1487-nucleotide unclassified non-coding RNA is filed under the name Hevea brasiliensis (rubber tree). Lineage: Eukaryota; Viridiplantae; Streptophyta; Magnoliopsida; Malpighiales; Euphorbiaceae. The record is from RNAcentral.
CUUAGAACAAUGACUAUUACUCGAAAUGAUGCUAUCACGGAGCUGCCAGAAUCAGUUGGAGAGUUGCAGAAUCUCGUCAUAUUGAGAUUGACCAAAUGUAAGCGUCUGCACAAACUGCCAGAUUCUAUUGGGGAACUUAAGAACUUAGUACACUUGUUAAUGGAGGAGACUGCAGUAACAGUAUUACCUCAAACUUUUGGGAUGCUAUCGAGCUUAAUGAUUCUGAGGAUGGGAAAGAAGCCUUUCCUUCAGGUACCACAAAGUACUGAAAUCACAGAAACAGCUACCUAUGCAGAAAGGGAAACCGUACCUAUUGUGCUUCCUUCAUCUUUCUCAAAGUUAUCCUUGUUAGAAGAACUUAAUGCACGUGCAUGGCGAAUAGUUGGGAAAAUACCUGAUGAUUUUGAGAAACUGUCAUCUUUGGAGUUCAUCGAUCUCGGUCACAAUGAUUUUUCCCAUUUGCCGUCUAGUCUGAAAGGACUACAUUUCUUGAAAAAGCUCUUAAUUCCCCACUGCAAACAGCUGAAAGCUCUUCCUCCUCUUCCUUCAAGUUUGCUCGAGAUAAAUGCCGCAAAUUGUGGGGCACUAGAGAGCAUACAUGAUAUCUCAGAAUUAGUGUUCUUGCACGAACUAAACCUCGCAAAUUGCAUGAGUUUGGGCGACGUCCAAGGUGUCGAAUGCUUGAGAUCCUUAAAAAUGUUACAUAUGGUUGGAUGCAACGUCUCUUGUGCCUCUAUUGUUAGAAACAAACUUGAUAAGCUUGCUGUGAAGAACUUGGAUAAUUUGAGUAUUCCAGGCAAUGAAAUUCCAAGUUGGUUUACUCCGAAUGAGGUGCAUUUCUCAAAGCACGAAAACAAUGAUAUCAAAGCAGUGAUUAUUGCCAUAGUUGUUUCUGUGAACUGUGCUGAACCAGAUGAUUUACGGGAUGAACUGCCUGUAGUCCCUAAUAUCUUUGCGAAAAUCAUUAGAGCAAAUAGACCAGUAUUUACUACUGGCAUGUACUUGGCAGGAGUCCCAACAACGUCCGAGGAUCAAGUUUAUUUAUGCAGGCAUCAAGAUUAUCAUCCAUUAGUAUCUAUUCUUGAAGAUGGAGAUUCUAUACAUGUCGGCUUGGGCAACUUACCCGUUACAGGUAUUGAACUGAAGAAAUGUGGAAUACAUUUAGUACAAGAAAAUGAUGAUGACUAUGAAGGUAAUGAAGAAUCAUUGGAUGAAACCCAACAAUCUGUAUCAGAAAGAUUAACCAGGUUUUACGGAGCCUCUAACAGAGAGAGCAAUAUCUUCAACUCGAACUCAGCUCAAGAAGACGGAGAAGGGGAUGGAACAGGUAACUUUCUUAGUUUUGUUAAGGAGAUUUUUUGUGCUCUGAAGUACCUUUUCUUCAAGAGAUUUUAAACCUCAUGACCGCGGUUGAAUAUGAACGUCGUGUGUUUGUUUAUACUGUGAACAACAACGUACAGAUAGUUAUGCAGUGAACAAUAAUGCAG